CCCCCGCUCGCCGCGCCGAGCCGCUCGCCCCGCCUCCUCCCGUUCGUCGUGUCGGCCGCCGCGUUGCUAUCCAGGCGCUACCUGCUGCGGAAGAAGCCCACCGGGCGCCAUCCUCUAGUCCGCCCACGCCAUCUUCAGUCUUCCAUCGGCGCCGACGGCAAUAGCCGAAGCGGAGCAGCGCACGAGUUCCUGGCUGACCUGCCGCGCGACGAGGCAGUCGUGGCCGGGCCAGGCAGUCCCGACACCUAGGAUUCGCACGCCGUGGUCGACUCCUGCCUCAAACAUCAAAGCAUGAAAGAUUCCAUCGAUGGAUCCCCUAUGUUCUGCUUAGAGCUGUAGAUGACUUCGAUUCCAACACGAAUCGAUCUUUCUUCCUUACAAAAAAGAUUUGAUGAAGUUUGGGCGAGCGAGGGGCCGUGCACUGCAACGGGAAAAAAUGACUUGAAUGGAAUUGUAGCACAAUACUUAGCAAGAUAACUCUUAGGAGAUUGCAUUUUCUAUUAUUCAGGUAAACUUAGCAAAUUUACUGAAACCAAACAGUAGAGUGCUUAUUAUUAAAUUACAUAGAGGUAUUAAACUUGACACAAGAAGGGCAGACAUAAGCCUAUACCUCAAAACUGCAAAAUUUCUCCAUUAUCUUUUCUUGCAGCUAUUUAGUACCCUAUGAAUGGCAGUAAAAGAGAAUAUACCACCACAAAAAAUGCUGAAAUAGUAGUAACAGAAAGGACGUGCUCUAAUGUGCUAGAAUUAGUUAGUUAUUACAUACCACAAGAGGCCAACCAGUGACAACGAAUACAUCCAGUGAGUACCAUCAAUUGUUGAAAAUGCGUGUGCUUCUUGGAUGUCAAGACCGAGCUCGCCAAGCAAACAAGUCAGUUGUAAAUGUAUAAGUGACAGUAUAAGAAUUGAACCAGACACUGAGUAGUGGAUCUGGUCUCAAUGUACUUUACACUGAAGUUCAAGUGAUUUCAGUACAAUGACAUUAAUUUUGAUGCGUGUUAGAGAAAAGGUGAUUCCAGUAAUUCGCAUAAAUUUUUGAAAAUGUGUUUGUUAGAAGCUUGUAUAUCAUACAUGGAUUGGACAACAUACAUGAUUAUCUCCUUUCAGACUGUUCUGGGUUUCUAGAUCAGAAGGAAUUGGUUCUUGAUAGCCCUUCGGGUCUCAGAGAAUUCAGAAGAAGUUCUUACAACAGUCGUUACUGGAUAAAUCAUGUAUGAUGCCAUACUUGCACCCUCAUUUGCAGCUUAUUUCAGGUUGUUGCUCAAUCAGGUGAGUUUGUCUUUUCUGCUUUUCAGUUCACAUCUGUUGGCAUGAAUUUACCCGUGCACUUGGUACUAGCACUGAUGAUAAUUUGGACCUGUCACUGUCAGACGGGGAAAGAUAUGCCCAUUAGUAGUGCAUCUUUAUUAAGUUUGAGGAGAAAGAGUAAUUAAUUCAUCUUGUGGCAUGCGUCCACACUUGUUAACAAAUUAACCCUUUUUAAUUUGUGUCUUAAAAGUACUUUUGUUAACAUUUGCAACCGAAGAUAUGAUCUACUUUUGCUAAUAGUGGUAAAAAAAGAGGAUCCAGAUUUCCAGAUUCUAUGUUGUACAGAAUUAUUCUUUGCCAACAAUAAUUUUGCUAAGUUGCUCUUGCCUCUCAGUGUUAUUAGUAUGAAUAUUCUAUGCAGCUGAACUUAUUUGCUAGAGAGAAUUAGAAACACAAGGAUUGAUUACUGAUGAAAGAACCACACAUAGAUAUAUGUUUUCUCCAUUGGCCAGCAAUUCAACUGCAUGUUUUAGGAACCACAAAUAGCUUUGGGUAAUAUUAUCUUCAGAAACCCUGCCCUGCCGCCCCUCUGGUCCUUAUCACCAUCGCGCUCCUGCGCACAGGCGUCUCCCCGCUGCCUCGGCGCCUUCCGUAGCAGGUUAGGGCGGAGCUGAGAAUGAGGCAUCCGCACACCACUAUUCCUCCCUUUGAGCGCCGUUGAUGUGCCCCUGAUUAUCUCCGCCAAGUUUAGCCGCCAACUUCACUGGAAGCUCCACGAUGAUCCAGGUGCCUUCAAGGACAAGCUCAGCGACCUCGACGCUGCACAAGGUGAACGAGCACGGGAAGCCGCUGGCCAGCGAGCAGGAGAAGCUCACCGCGGAGGCUGAUUUCAAAAUUUCAGAUAGAAUGGGGAAGGAUGCCGAAGAUGUAGGGGACCAUUCAAGGGAAGAGAAGAUGCGCGUUUUUCCUUCCUAACCAUUUGAGUAGUGUUGUGUGCAAUUUAUGCUUGUUUUGAAAAUUUGGUUGUAAAUGUUGAAUUUAUCUCCAAUCAUCUGUUGUUCUGUAAUUUCUACAAACUUUCAUAUUUUCGCAUGAAUUUUUUAAAA
Hordeum vulgare subsp. vulgare (domesticated barley) is the source of this 2354-nucleotide long non-coding RNA. RefSeq lists it as uncharacterized. The transcript is spliced from 4 exons. Lineage: Eukaryota; Viridiplantae; Streptophyta; Magnoliopsida; Poales; Poaceae. The record is from RefSeq and is a predicted model, not a curated record.